Molecule: long non-coding RNA, 476 nt
Organism: Columba livia (rock pigeon)
Lineage: Eukaryota; Metazoa; Chordata; Aves; Columbiformes; Columbidae
Exons: 4
Source: RefSeq, a predicted model, not a curated record
UAAUUUUUCAAAACUUGCCAAAACUUGAUGCCAGCCCACCAUUACAGAGCUUAGUGAAAAGUUACUGUUCCUGAAAAGAAAACAUCUUGACCUUCAUUUUAAAGUGAAUGCUAUAUUCCCAUCUUUAAGGCAAGUUGCUGUAGAGCUUCUGGAGUCUCCAGUUUUCCUUCAGGGGGCCGGGACAAAACUCCAAGCAUUCAUGAAUCCUUCAGGAAAUUUCAGGGUGCUCUCUCCAGGAACAAGAAGUUUCCACAGACCUCUAGAAGUAGACCUGCAGUUGCCUGGAGGAAAACAAAACAGCACGUACCAGGAAGACAGGACAAUAUGAGAUCUACGUACAAUUCUGGAAGAGAAACACAGGAGUAGCAGUCUCCUAGAUCCAGCCCUCUCAUGGUCAUACCUUCACCCACCCUUUCCCUACCCCACCCAGCAUAUCUUUCAUCUGAAGCAGAGUGGAUUGCUGGUGAACUCUGGGG